GUUAUUCAAACUAAAGAGUUUCGGAUAAGGAUAGGCUCGCGUGACAUUAGCUAGACGGCGGGGUAACGGCCCACCGUGGCUACGAUGUCUAGGGGUUCUGAGAGGAAGGUCCCCCACACUGGAACUGAGACACGGUCCAGACUCCUACGGGAGGCAGCAGUGAGGAAUAUUGGACAAUGGAUGGAAAUCUGAUCCAGCCAUGCCGCGUGAAGGAAUACGGUCCUAUGGAUUUUAAACUUCUUUUGUAUGGGGAGCAAUAAGGUGUACGUGUACAUCGAUGAGAGUACCAUACGAAUAAGCAUCGGCUAACUCCGUG
RNAcentral lists this ribosomal RNA (316 nucleotides) under uncultured bacterium. Its description in RNAcentral is "bacterial SSU rRNA". It matches the Rfam family "Bacterial small subunit ribosomal RNA", at positions 191 to 507 of the family's 1533-position model. The record is from RNAcentral.